Molecule: ribosomal RNA, 253 nt
Filed under: uncultured bacterium
Lineage: Bacteria
Description: partial 16S ribosomal RNA
Rfam family: Bacterial small subunit ribosomal RNA
Source: RNAcentral
UACGUAGGGUGCAAGCGUUAAUCGGAAUUACUGGGCGUAAAGCGUGCGCAGGCGGUUAUGUAAGACAGGUGUGAAAUCCCAGGGCUUAACCUUGGAACUGCAUUUGUGACUGCAUAGCUAGAGGACGGUAGAGGGGGAUGGAAUUCCGCGUGUAGCAGUGAAAUGCGUAGAUAUGCGGAGGAACACCGAUGGCGAAGGCGAUCCCCUGGACCUGUACUGACGCUCAUGCACGAAAGCGUGGGGAGCAAACAGG